CAGCCGCCGCGGUAAUACCGGCGGCCCGAGUGGCGGCUACUAUUAUUGGGCCUAAAGCGUCCGUAGCCGGGCUGGUAAGUCCUCCGGGAAAUCUGGUCGCUUAACGAUCAGACUUCCGGAGGAUACUGCUGGCCUAGGGACCGGGAGAGGCCGAGGGUAUUCCCGGGGUAGGGGUGAAAUCCUGUAAUCCCGGGAGGACCACCUGUGGCGAAGGCGCUCGGCUGGAACGGGCCCGACGGUGAGGGACGAAGGCCAGGGGAGCGAACCGGAUUAGAUACCCGGGUAGUCCUGGCGGUAAACGAUGCGGACUAGGUGUCGGGCAAGCUAAGGGCUUGUCCGGUGCCGCAGGGAAGCCGUUAAGUCCGCCGCCUGGGGAGUACGGCCGCAAGGCUGAAACUUAAAGGAAUUGGCGGG
Molecule: ribosomal RNA, 414 nt
Filed under: uncultured microorganism
Description: bacterial SSU rRNA
Rfam family: Archaeal small subunit ribosomal RNA
Source: RNAcentral